RNAcentral lists this ribosomal RNA (253 nucleotides) under uncultured bacterium. Its description in RNAcentral is "partial 16S ribosomal RNA". It matches the Rfam family "Bacterial small subunit ribosomal RNA", at positions 524 to 776 of the family's 1533-position model. The record is from RNAcentral.
UACGAAGGGGGCUAGCGUUGCUCAGAAUGACUGGGCGUAAAGGGCGCGUAGGCGGUUUGGACAGUCAGAUGUGAAAUUCCUGGGCUCAACCUGGGGGCUGCAUUUGAUACGUUCGGACUAGAGUGGGGAAGAGGGUCGUGGAAUUCCCAGUGUAGAGGUGAAAUGCGUAGAUAUCUGGAGGAACACCGGUGGCGAAGGCGGCAUCCUGGACCGACACUGACACUGAGGGGCGAAAGCCAGGGGAGCAAACGGG